Molecule: long non-coding RNA, 1550 nt
Filed under: Neodiprion pinetum (white pine sawfly)
Lineage: Eukaryota; Metazoa; Arthropoda; Insecta; Hymenoptera; Diprionidae
Description: uncharacterized LOC124223931
Source: RNAcentral
CUAACAAUAAGUACUCGGCUUAUGGGCCGAACACUUCCGAACUUACCCGAGUCUCGAAACGAUGGAUACGCGUGGCGAUGACGCAAGGAUACCUGUGUGCGUACCUGAGGAACGGACGCGACCUCUCGCUAUUGCGUAAAAUGCGUGGGAGGAUGAAAAUUUCCCCUCCUUCCAACAAGCCUUAGUCUAGUCGGAAUGUUCAUUUGAAAUUGAAUUUUUUUUUUACGCCACCAUUGUCUUUUUCUAAUCGUGGUGAAGGCAUUGGUGAACUAGUUCUAAAAUUUUGAUCAGAUUCUGCGGUAGCUUCGGCCGCCAUUUUGAAUUUAUGGGAGAAUUUUUUUUUUUUUUUUUAUCCAAUAAAUUGCCCAUUUUCAACUCUUGAUUGAAAAUGAUCGUAACUAAAUAUGGAUAUAACUAAAUUAAUUUUAACCUUCUACUACUUUGGUCCUUAUAAUUUUUUGACGCUGUCCAUAUUUUCUGAGUUAAAUCAUAAAUUCAAUAUGGCGGCCGAAGAUACUUCAGAAUGUGGUCUAUAUACCAAAGAAAAUAGUGGUAUCGAAAAAAGAAGGAAAAGUUACUUGACAAAACGAGUGAUUUUUUUCACUUCCAAUUCGUUUGAACGAAAUAACCUAUCGAUUCAAGCAACUGCGUAUGAGUUGGGACAACAGUCUCUGUGCAUCAAUUCAAAUUUUACAUAUUUUCGAGUGAUGUGUAUUUCGAGGAAAUGAGUGUUUUCUUUCAUGGGAUUGAGCUACCAUUGUUCGAAUCGAGAAGUUAAAAAUUGCAAUAAUAAUCGCUCAUUGGCAGAUAUACUUGUGUGAUGGCCAAAUCAUGUAUUUAGUUUCAUGCGAUGUCCAUCACUUAAAGUCAAUAAUUAUUUGAACAGAAGAAAUGCAAACUCUGCGGAAACAUUCAUACAUCUGGCGGACAAGAUUUUAACUUUAAUAAAAAAAAAAUCCUUCUCCAAUAUAAAGCUCUGUUUCAGUCAAAUAACAGAUGAACAGAAUUAAAUACGCAUUUCAUUGUUGCGAGCAAAGAUGUGUGGUUAACGAUCAUAAAUAAGGUCUUGAAGCCAAGUUUGAAAUCUGGCGAUUAAAUACAUGACACAUAUUCCUAACAAGCUAUACUAUCUGAUUUGGCGAAACGAAUAUUACUUCACUGAAACAAAUUUUGACUGGUUCGAUAGUCUUCCCAUUCUUUGAUGUGCAUGUUUCGUGUUCUUCAACCGAAAUGAUAAUUCAUUCGAAGUGGUACCAAUUUUGGCCGCUAGACGGCAAGCUCUCUGAAUUGAAAAGUAACGUCAAAGAUGGUUAUACCCGAGCUCCUCGGCUACAACAAGUCAGUUUGGUACAGUACUGCCAAGUACGAACAGCGUGGUGUCGGUGGAUAUAGUUACUUCUAAACGAUUUUCUGUUGAUGACAUCACUCUUAUUUGAAAUCAGACAAUAACAAUAGUUUAUCGUGUGCACUACAUCAUUUAAAUGCACUUACAAAUUGGAUAAACUCCGUAUACUUGAGCGAUGCCAAGAAAAGCGUAUACGUAAGCAGGA